CGGUGGCUAUUGCACAGGGGUCAUACCUCUUCCCAUUCCGAACAGAGAAGUCAAGCCCUGUAGCGCCGAUGGUACUUGGUGGGCAACUGCCUGGGAGAGUAGGACACCGCCGGAAUU
This 117-nucleotide ribosomal RNA is filed under the name uncultured bacterium W5-102b. The record is from RNAcentral.